RNAcentral lists this ribosomal RNA (1373 nucleotides) under Loxoblemmus doenitzi. Its description in RNAcentral is "16S ribosomal RNA". The stretch from base 885 to 1246 matches the Rfam family "Archaeal large subunit ribosomal RNA", at positions 2151 to 2715 of the family's 2987-position model. Lineage: Eukaryota; Metazoa; Arthropoda; Insecta; Orthoptera; Gryllidae. The record is from RNAcentral.
GCAAAUCAAAUGCUUUGAUUAAAUAUUAAAAUUAUUUUGUUUUUAUAAUGGAAAUUAACUUGUGUAUUUUUAUAUUAGUAGUUUUUGAAUGUUAUAUUUAUUAUUAUAGUUUAUUUUUACAGUGAGGGAUUUUUGAAAUAUGGUUUUUAUUGUUGAGAAGAAAUGUAAUAUGUACCUUUUGUAUCAGGGUUUAUUAAAAAUGAUGAAUUUAUUUUUUUUAUUCUCGAAUUGGGAAGAGCUAUUUAAUUAUGAUUGUUAUUGUGACAUAAAUAUGUUUAAUAAUUGGAUGGUAGUGAUAUGUUAUUCGUUUUCUAAGAUAUCUAGUUUUUCAAGAUGGAAAUUUAAUUUUGGAUUUAAUUUUGUUUAUCAUAGAUUGUUAUUUUAUUAUUGAAUGUUAAUUAGAUUAAUUCUUAAUGUUUUGGGGAUAAGCUUGAAAUAUUUGAUUAUAAUUUUUUUUUUGUUUUGUUUAUUAUGUGGGCUUUAAAAUGGCUAUUAUUAAUGAUUUUGUUAUAAUUAUUGUUGUUGUUUAUUUUUUUUUGUGUUUAAUUUAUUUAUUGAAAUAUUUUUAUUAAUUUGUUAUUAAAUAUUAAUAAUGAUGGAAUUAGUAGAUUAAUUUUGUUUAUAAUAUGUGAUUGGAAAAUUUAUGUUAAGGAACUCGGCAAAUAAUAUUGUUCGCCUGUUUAUCAAAAACAUGUCUUUUUGUAUUAAUUUAAAGUCGUGCCUGCCCAGUGAAUAUUUAAAUGGCCGCGGUAUUUUGACCGUGCAAAGGUAGCAUAAUCAUUAGUCUUUUAAUUGAAGGCUGGAAUGAAUGGUUUGACGAAACAAUAACUGUCUCGGUAUUAAUAAUUGAAUUUUAUUUUUGAGUUAAAAGGCUUAAAUAGUGGUGGGGGACGAGAAGACCCUAUAGAUCUUUAUAGUUUAAUUUUAAUUAAAUUAUUGGUUGUUAUUUAUUUAUUUGAAAUGAAAUUAUUUCGUUGGGGUGAUGAGAGAAUAAAUUAACUUCUUUGUUAUUUAACUAUGAUGAUUGAUUUUUUGAUCCUGUAUUAUGGAAUAUAAGAGUAAGAUACCUUAGGGAUAACAGCGUAAUUUUAUUGGAGAGUUCAUAUUGAUAAUAAAGAUUGCGACCUCGAUGUUGGAUUAAGAUUAUGAUUUGGUGCAGUAGCUAAAUUAAUUGGUCUGUUCGACCAUUAAAUUCUUACAUGAUCUGAGUUCAAACCGGUGUAAGCCAGGUUGGUUUCUAUCUUCAUUGAUAAUAUAUAUAUUUUAGUACGAAAGGAUUAAAUAUAUUAAAUAUUUUAUAUUUUGUGAAUUAGUUUGCUAUAUUGGCAGAGAAGUGCAAUGAAUUUAGAAUUCAUAUAUGUAAUUAAUUACAU